GCCAGCAUGGCAUAGUGGUUUGAGUGUUAGACCACGACUCUGAGGACCAGGGUUUGAUUCCUGCUUGGCC
Non-coding RNA from Phrynosoma platyrhinos (Desert horned lizard), 70 nucleotides. The record is from the annotation of a GenBank genome assembly. NCBI's taxonomy places the organism in Eukaryota, Metazoa, Chordata, Lepidosauria, Squamata, Phrynosomatidae.